UACUAUGAUGAUACACAAUUAACACAGACCUGUACUGAUUCUUCGGAAUCUGAAGAUAAAUUAAUUGUUGCCUUUUAGCUGACC
Molecule: small nucleolar RNA, 84 nt
Organism: Pichia membranifaciens
Lineage: Eukaryota; Fungi; Ascomycota; Pichiomycetes; Pichiales; Pichiaceae
Rfam family: Small nucleolar RNA snR56
Source: Rfam